UUGCAAUGCAUUCGUAAGACAAAAAGUAUUUUCUUGAAAUAUUGGUCCAUAGGGAGUAAACACGACGGCGUUCAACCAAUCAUAUCGUCAUAAUUUAUUCAAGGUGUGAUGAUGUAUGGAAGGAACUGAACUUUUGCGUUUGGGUUUAAAUAUUUUCUUCAACAUUCAUUUGGAGGUUGAAAAUUGUCCAUUUUAGUUCAAAUUGAAGAUUUCAUGAAUCUGAUUUCUAGAUUUACUUCAAUUAAACGUUUUGUUCCUAUACCACGUUGAAACGUACAAUCGUUAAAAAAUAAAUAUGCUCUUAGAUAUGUUUAAUUUAGAUUUUCACCUACGGUUUAUUAUGAAAUAUAAAUAAAGCAUAUUUUUGAGCAUCAAAAC
This 378-nucleotide long non-coding RNA is filed under the name Mytilus galloprovincialis (Mediterranean mussel). The record is from RNAcentral. Lineage: Eukaryota; Metazoa; Mollusca; Bivalvia; Mytilida; Mytilidae.